CUUUAUGGCAGAUCGCGCGGGGAGGCCUUCUGGCCUGCCGGGUCCUGAUGCCGGUCUGUCAACCCCGCGUGGUCUGCCACCCUU
RNAcentral lists this non-coding RNA (84 nucleotides) under Nocardioides sp. IMT03. The record is from RNAcentral. Lineage: Bacteria; Bacillati; Actinomycetota; Actinomycetes; Propionibacteriales; Nocardioidaceae.